CCUACGGGAGGCAGCAGUGGGGAAUAUUGCACAAUGGGGGAAACCCUGAUGCAGCGACGCCGCGUGAAGGAUGAAGUAUUUCGGUAUGUAAACUUCUAUCAGCAGGGAAGAUGAUGACGGUACCUGACUAAGAAGCCCCGGCUAACUACGUGCCAGCAGCCGCGGUAAU
This 169-nucleotide ribosomal RNA is filed under the name uncultured bacterium. RNAcentral's name for it is "partial 16S ribosomal RNA". It matches the Rfam family "Bacterial small subunit ribosomal RNA", at positions 338 to 524 of the family's 1533-position model. The record is from RNAcentral.